UACGGGGGGAGCAAGCGUUGUUCGGAUUUACUGGGCGUAAAGGGCGCGUAGGCGGUCGUGACAAGUCACUUGUGAAAUCUCCGGGCUUAACUCGGAACGGUCAAGUGAUACUGUCGGACUAGAGUACAGAAGGGGCAACUGGAAUUCUCGGUGUAGCAGUGAAAUGCGUAGAUAUCGGGAGGAACACCGGUGGCGAAGGCGGCGACCUGGGUUGACACUGACGCUGAGGCGCGAAAGCGUGGGGAGCAAACAGG
Molecule: ribosomal RNA, 254 nt
Filed under: uncultured bacterium
Lineage: Bacteria
Description: partial 16S ribosomal RNA
Rfam family: Bacterial small subunit ribosomal RNA
Source: RNAcentral